CGCGUUAUUGUCAGUGAAUCCAGUCAGAGGUCAAACGGGGAGAAAACUGGUCCAGGAUUAUUGGUAGUACUGAUCCUGAUGGGGAUAAUCGAUCAUUUGAUCAUCUGAAAGAACAAGAAACCCUGCAGGAAUAAAAAAAGUAAAGAAGACAAGAAAGAGACAAGAUGAACAUUUGAAGAUUGAGACUUCCAACAAUAGCUCAUAGUCACAGAAUACAGAUUAAGACAAAAGUCUUUUCAAAUCUAACGUAUAUUUUGAUUUAUAAAACGCUCAGUUCUGGUCCUUGAUUCUGAUUGGCUGAGCUGAGUUUUAAACUGUUAUAAAAUACCCCGAUUUAUAACGGCUGACUACACCACAUAGCCUAAAUAUCAUUUUAUUUACUUUAUUUUUAUGAAACCUUGCUAAGCAUAUGGAAUAACCGUUUUAUAAAAGCAAUAAGCCCCGUGAUGCAGUGGGUUACAGUGCAUUUUAUAACAGCUGAGGGGAUUGUAAUGACUCCGCUUCGCAUCGUGCCACAACACCCUUAGCUGUUAUAAAAUGCACUGUAACCACACGGCUUAUUGCUUUAUUAGAGACAUGACAUCUGUUUAACAUAUUGUACCGGAUUAGGUGUUUUUGCACCUUUUGGUAAGCAUUUCGCUUGUUCUUACUUUAUCCUGGAAUCAAAGUAUGUUCAUGUCAAUCUAUUUUCUAUGUUAAAUAUGAAAACUUAUUCAGCGAACACAAAUAAAUGUGUUGGAAUUAGCCUUCACAGUUCUGAUGACCUGCAGUAUGAUGAUGAUUUUUUGUAUGAUCUCUACUGCUCUCUAGUGGACAAACACUGAUUACACAUGAAGAAAUAAAAUGUUGAAUGCUGGUGAACUCAUAAGUCAUUUAUGCACAUUUUGAUGAAAGUUUAAUUAUUUAAUUAUUUAAUAAAUGUAACAUUACUGUU
This is a long non-coding RNA of Triplophysa rosa, 934 nucleotides long. RefSeq lists it as uncharacterized. The record is from RefSeq and is a predicted model, not a curated record. The transcript is spliced from 3 exons. Lineage: Eukaryota; Metazoa; Chordata; Actinopteri; Cypriniformes; Nemacheilidae.